Non-coding RNA from Xiphias gladius (swordfish), 270 nucleotides. RefSeq annotates it as small Cajal body-specific RNA 6. NCBI's taxonomy places the organism in Eukaryota, Metazoa, Chordata, Actinopteri, Istiophoriformes, Xiphiidae. The record is from RefSeq and is a predicted model, not a curated record. The transcript has a single exon.
GGUCAGUGAUGAACAGUAAAAGGUCUGAUUACCCACAAUCCUCUCCUGCUGCCCUCUGGCUCCCAGCAGUCUCUGCUCUCUGCUCCCAUUAUGCUCUAGUGAUGCAAUGUUGGCCCCAGGAGCUGCUGACAUAAAGGAAGUGAUAUCGCAGUUUGAGUCUGUACCAAGAUCCUAUAGGCUCAGUGUGACGACAUCCAACAGAACUAAUCAGCACGGAGCGUCAGGCUGAGGAGGAGGAGGGAGCUGAUCUGAAGUUUUCAACCUGAGACC